This 374-nucleotide ribosomal RNA is filed under the name uncultured organism. RNAcentral's name for it is "partial 16S ribosomal RNA". It matches the Rfam family "Bacterial small subunit ribosomal RNA", at positions 527 to 896 of the family's 1533-position model. The record is from RNAcentral.
GUAGGUGGCAAGCGUUGUCCGGAAUUAUUGGGCGUAAAGCGCGCGCAGGCGGGUUUUUUAAGUCUGAUGUGAAAGCCCACGGGCUCAACCGUGGAGGGUCAUUGGAAACUGGAGAACUUGAGUACAGAAGAGGAAAGCGGAAUUCCACGUGUAGCGGUGAAAUGCGUAGAGAUGUGGAGGAACACCAGUGGCGAAGGCGGCUUUCUGGCCUGUAACUGACGCUGAGGCGCGAAAGCGUGGGGAGCAAACAGGAUUAGAUACCCUGGUAGUCCACGCCGUAAACGAUGAGUGCUAAGUGUUAGGGGGUUUCCGCCCCUUAGUGCUGCAGCUAACGCAUUAAGCACUCCGCCUGGGGAGUACGGCCGCAAAGGCUG